GAUGGCGGUGGCUACGGCGUUGGUGGUGCGGUUGCCCUAGCCGGGCGUGGCGGGGGGUGGCGGUGCCCUGCGCCGCCGUGCCGUGCGGGGCGCCGCCCC
RNAcentral lists this transfer RNA (99 nucleotides) under Streptomyces olivaceus. Its description in RNAcentral is "tRNA-Pyl". The record is from RNAcentral. Lineage: Bacteria; Bacillati; Actinomycetota; Actinomycetes; Kitasatosporales; Streptomycetaceae.